Molecule: long non-coding RNA, 679 nt
Organism: Cyprinus carpio (common carp)
Lineage: Eukaryota; Metazoa; Chordata; Actinopteri; Cypriniformes; Cyprinidae
Exons: 6
Source: RefSeq, a predicted model, not a curated record
UCAAAGCGAAAGUAAAGUGCAUCGUCCUAAGCUGUCUUUUUUAUGAAACCAGAAACAUCUUAACACCUAGUUUUGUUAAUUUAGAUUUUCUGGAUGGAACGUCAUUUAGAUGAAAUAUGACCAUACAUUUCCAUUUAGUUCAGUUCAGAUGAAAUAUCAAAGUCAUCUGAAGUCAUUGAGGAGUGACCGGUCAAUGGAUCCUUCCCAUACCUAGUGGACAAACUGAUCUUUGAUUUAGUGCACAGACCCGACCUGCCAGAACCCAGCUGUGUGUCCAUGAAGAGAGACUGGUCAAUGGAUCCUCCACAUAACUUUAGUGAACACACUGAUCUUGGAUUUAGUUUGGUCCAGAUGCAAAGACCAAAGUUAUCUAAACCCAGCUGUGUGCCUAUGAGGGGUGUCUGGUCAGUGGAUCUGCCUCAAAACUUAAGUGGACACAAAGAUCCUAUGUUUAGCAUGGACCCUCCAGAACCCAGCUGUGUGUCCAUGAAGAGUGACUGGUCAAUGGAACCUCCACGUAACUUUCGUGAACACACUGUAUCAUCAAAUAAGACCGAUCGUUACAACACUAAUCUUGGGUUUAGUAUGGACCCACCAGAACCCAGCUGUGUGUCCAUGAAGAGUGACUGGUCAAUGGAACCUCCACGUAACUUUCGUGGACACACUGUACCAAAUCUUG